Suncus etruscus (white-toothed pygmy shrew) is the source of this 104-nucleotide small nuclear RNA. The record is from RefSeq and is a predicted model, not a curated record. Lineage: Eukaryota; Metazoa; Chordata; Mammalia; Eulipotyphla; Soricidae.
GUGCUCGUUUUGGCAGCACAUAUACUAAGAUUGGAACAAUAUAGAGAUUAGCAUAGCCCCUAAGCAAAGAUGACAUGCAAAUUUGUGAAGUGUUUCAUAUUUUA